Molecule: transfer RNA, 85 nt
Filed under: Thermoplasmatota archaeon
Lineage: Archaea; Methanobacteriati; Thermoplasmatota
Description: tRNA-Leu
Rfam family: tRNA
About the family: Transfer RNA (tRNA) molecules are approximately 80 nucleotides in length.
Source: RNAcentral
GCGAGGGUAGCCAAGCCAGGCCAACGGCGACAGACUCAAGAUCUGUUCCAGCAGUGGUUCGUCGGUUCGAAUCCGGCCCCUCGCA